CGGAGGGUGCAAGCGUUGUUCGGAUUUACUGGGCGUAAAGCGUGUCUAGGUGGACUUGUAAGUCAGAUGUGAAAUCCCCCGGCUUAACUGGGGAGGGUCAUUUGAAACUACAAGCCUUGAGUUUCGGGGAGGUGGGUGGAAUUCCCAGUGUAGAGGUGAAAUUCGUAGAGAUUGGGAGGAACAUCGGAGGCGAAAGCGGCUCACUAACCGAACACUGACACUGACACACGAAAGCGUGGGUAGCAAACAGGAUUAGAUACCCUGGUAGUCCACGCCGUAAACGAUGGAUACUAGGUGUUGGAGGAGUUGAUCCCUUCAGUGCCGAAGCUAACGCAUUAAGUAUCCCGCCUGGGAAGUACGGUCGCAAGACUA
This 372-nucleotide ribosomal RNA is filed under the name uncultured organism. RNAcentral describes it as "bacterial SSU rRNA". It matches the Rfam family "Bacterial small subunit ribosomal RNA", at positions 526 to 896 of the family's 1533-position model. The record is from RNAcentral.